RNAcentral lists this ribosomal RNA (513 nucleotides) under Xylogone sp. 130BDA. RNAcentral's name for it is "eukaryotic LSU rRNA". The stretch from base 162 to 315 matches the Rfam family "5.8S ribosomal RNA". Lineage: Eukaryota; Fungi; Ascomycota; Leotiomycetes. The record is from RNAcentral.
GCGGGGUAGGUAGUCCCACCCCUGUGUAUUCUUACCUGUGUUGCUUUGGCAGGCCGCUGGGUUGCGGCCUGGCCACCGGCCUUUGGGCUGGUGCGUGCCUGCCAGAGACCCUUCAAACUCUGGUUUAUCUAGUGUUGUCUGAGUAUCAUGCAAAUCGUUAAAACUUUCAACAACGGAUCUCUUGGUUCUGGCAUCGAUGAAGAACGCAGCGAAAUGCGAUAAGUAAUGUGAAUUGCAGAAUUCAGUGAAUCAUCGAAUCUUUGAACGCACAUUGCGCCCUUUGGUAUUCCGAGGGGCAUGCCUGUUCGAGCGUCAUUUCAACCCUCAAGCUCUGCUUGGUAUUGGGCUUCGCCGUCGUGCGGCGGGCCUUAAAAUCAGUGGCGGUGCCGUCUCGGCUCCAAGCGCAGUAGCAUCAUCUCGCUCUGGAGACCCUGGUGGUUGCUGGCCAGCUAAACCCCCCUUUUUUUUCUCAUGGUUGACCUCGGAUCAGGUAGGGAUACCCGCUGAACUUAA